UGGCCUUGACAUAGAUAGAAUUUUGCAGAGACGCGAAAGUGCUAGUUUACUAGAGCUAUCAUACAGGUGCUGCACGGCUGUCGUCAGCUCGUGUCGUGAGAUGUUGGGUUAAGUCCCGCAACGAGCGCAACCCUCGUGUUUAGUUAAUAACGGUUCGGCCGAUGACUCUAAACAGACUGCCUGGGUAACCAGGAGGAAGGUGAGGACGACGUCAAGUCAUCAUGGCCCUUACGGCCAGGGCUACACACGUGCUACAAUGGGGUAUACAAAGAGCCGCGAUACCGUGAGGUGGAGCAAAUCUCAUAAAAUAUCUCCCAGUUCGGAUUGAAGUCUGCAACUCGACUUCAUGAAGUUGGAAUCGCUAGUAAUCGUGAAUCAGCAAUGUCACGGUGAAUACGUUCCCGGGUCU
RNAcentral lists this ribosomal RNA (409 nucleotides) under uncultured bacterium. RNAcentral's name for it is "bacterial SSU rRNA". It matches the Rfam family "Bacterial small subunit ribosomal RNA", at positions 976 to 1381 of the family's 1533-position model. The record is from RNAcentral.